This 333-nucleotide long non-coding RNA is filed under the name Arabidopsis lyrata. RNAcentral's name for it is "long non-coding RNA (ALYR_LNC002305)". Lineage: Eukaryota; Viridiplantae; Streptophyta; Magnoliopsida; Brassicales; Brassicaceae. The record is from RNAcentral.
UUAUUAAUUGCAAAUUAUGAGAACUGUUACAUAGAUGAUUCUACAACUGACAAUUCCUUCCGACCCUUACUAGAUUCACGACAGACUACACUUCCUUCUUCGUAAUCUUGAUGAAUACCUUCAAUGAUCCACGACCUGGCGACACUUCCUUCUCUGCGUAGAAUCCUGGCGAACGACUAUAAUUGUAUAUCGCUGGAGAUCUCUUGCACACUUGCCUCCAUUAAUCUGUAAAUUUGUUAAUAAAUCGCAAUACCUGGGACUCGAACCCCAAACUUUUUGGUGUAGAAGCAUUAAUCAACCUUUGGUCAACCAAUGGGCCAAGGGGGCUUCCAC